GCGGUGGGAGCAAACAGGAUUAGAUACCCUGGUAGUCCGCUGUAAACGAUGUCGAUUGGAGUUUGUUGCCUAGAGUGAUGGGCUCCGAAGCUAACGCGAUAAAUCGACCGCCUGGGGAGUACGGCCGCAAGGUUAAAACUCAAAUGAAUUGACGGGGGCCCGCACAAGCGGUGGAGCAUGUGGUUUAAUUCGAUGCAACGCGAAGAACCUUACCUGGUCUUGACAUCCAUAGAAUUCUGCAGAGAUGUGGGAGUGCCUUCGGGAACUAUGAGACAGGUGCUGCAUGGCUGUCGUCAGCUCGUGUUGUGAAAUGUUGGGUUAAGUCCCGCAACGAGCGCAACCCUUAUUCUUUGUUGCCAGCGAUUUGGUCGGGAACUCAAAGGAGACUGCCGUUGAUAAAGCGGAGGAAGGUGGGGACGACGUCAAGUCAUCAUGGCCCUUACGACCAGGGCUACACACGUGCUACAAUGGCGUAUACAAAGGGAAGCGAAGGUGCGAGCUGGAGCGGAUCUCAUAAAGUACGUCUAAGUUCGGAUUGGAGUCUGCAACUCGACUCCAUGAAGUCGGAAUCGCUAGUAAUCGUAGAUCAGAAUGCUACGGUGAAUACGUUCCCGGGCCUUGUACACACCGCCCGUCACACCAUGGGAGUGGGUUGCACCAGAAGUAGAUAGCUUAACCGCGAGGGGGGCGUUUACCACGGUGUGAUUCAUGACUGGGGUGAAGUCGUAACAAGGUAACCA
This 740-nucleotide ribosomal RNA is filed under the name uncultured Enterobacteriaceae bacterium. RNAcentral's name for it is "bacterial SSU rRNA". It matches the Rfam family "Bacterial small subunit ribosomal RNA", at positions 759 to 1502 of the family's 1533-position model. The record is from RNAcentral. Lineage: Bacteria; Pseudomonadati; Pseudomonadota; Gammaproteobacteria; Enterobacterales; Enterobacteriaceae.